UUGAACGCUGGCGGCAUGCUAACACAUGCAAGUCGAACGGCAGCAUGACCUAGCUUGCUAAGUUGAUGGCGAGUGGCGAACGGGUGAGUAACGCGUAGGAAUAUGCCUUAAAGUGGGGGACAACUUGGGGAAACUCAAGCUAAUACCGCAUAAUCUCUAAGGAGAAAAGCUGGGGACCUUCGGGCCUGGCGCUUUAAGAUUAGCCUGCGUCCGAUUAGCUAGUUGGUAGGGUAAAGGCCUACCAAGGCGACGAUCGGUAGCUGGUCUGAGAGGAUGGCCAGCCACACUGGAACUGAGACACGGUCCAGACUCCUACGGGGGGCAGCAGUGGGGAAUAUUGGACAAUGGGGGGAACCCUGAUCCAGCAAUGCCGCGUGUGUGAAGAAGGCCUGAGGGUUGUAAAGCACUUUCAGUGGGGAGGAGGGUUAUUAGGUUAAGAGCUAGAUAAUUGGACGUUACCCACAGAAGAAGCACCGGCUAACUCCGUGCCAGCAGCCGCGGUAA
This 504-nucleotide ribosomal RNA is filed under the name uncultured bacterium. RNAcentral's name for it is "partial 16S ribosomal RNA". It matches the Rfam family "Bacterial small subunit ribosomal RNA", at positions 30 to 523 of the family's 1533-position model. The record is from RNAcentral.